This 36-nucleotide non-coding RNA is filed under the name Trypanosoma brucei brucei. Lineage: Eukaryota; Euglenozoa; Kinetoplastea; Trypanosomatida; Trypanosomatidae. The record is from RNAcentral.
AACUAACAAUGGAUAAUUUGAUGGGUGGACGAGUAA